RNAcentral lists this transfer RNA (73 nucleotides) under Stegodyphus mimosarum. It matches the Rfam family "tRNA". Rfam says of the family: Transfer RNA (tRNA) molecules are approximately 80 nucleotides in length. Lineage: Eukaryota; Metazoa; Arthropoda; Arachnida; Araneae; Eresidae. The record is from Rfam by way of RNAcentral.
GCUUUUGUGGUGUAGUGGUCAGCACACACGACGCGUAAUCGAGAGGUCCGUGGUUCGAUUCCCGGCGAAGACU